This 253-nucleotide ribosomal RNA is filed under the name uncultured bacterium. RNAcentral's name for it is "partial 16S ribosomal RNA". It matches the Rfam family "Bacterial small subunit ribosomal RNA", at positions 524 to 776 of the family's 1533-position model. The record is from RNAcentral.
UACGUAGGGCGCAAGCGUUGUCCGGAAUUAUUGGGCGUAAAGAGCUCGUAGGCGGUCUGUCGCGUCUGCUGUGAAAUCUGGGGGCUCAACCCCCAGCCUGCAGUGGGUACGGGCAGACUAGAGUGCUGUAGGGGAGACUGGAAUUCCUGGUGUAGCGGUGAAAUGCGCAGAUAUCAGGAGGAACACCGGUGGCGAAGGCGGGUCUCUGGGCAGUAACUGACGCUGAGGAGCGAAAGCGUGGGGAGCGAACAGG